CACGUAGGGUGCGAGCGUUGUCCGGAAUUAUUGGGCGUAAAGCGCACGUAGGCGGCGCGUUAAGUCGGAUGUGAAAGCCCUCGGCUCAACUGAGGAAGUGCAUUCGAAAACUGGCGUGCUUGAGGACUGGAGAGGAGACUGGAAUUUACGGUGUAGCAGUGAAAAUGCGUAGAGAUCGUAAGGAAGACCAGUGGCGAAGGCGG
RNAcentral lists this ribosomal RNA (203 nucleotides) under uncultured bacterium. RNAcentral describes it as "partial 16S ribosomal RNA". It matches the Rfam family "Bacterial small subunit ribosomal RNA", at positions 524 to 724 of the family's 1533-position model. The record is from RNAcentral.